UACGUAGGGUGCAAGCGUUAAUCGGAAUUACUGGGCGUAAAGCGUGCGCAGGCGGUUCUAUAAGACAGAUGUGAAAUCCCACGGCUCAACCGUGGAACUGCUCGGUAUACUGGCGAUCUUGGGCCACUUAGGGGCUAGCGGAACAAACGGUGGAGCGGUGAAAUGCGUAGAUAUCGUUUGGAACGCCAAUGGUGAAAACAGCUAGCUGGGAGUGUGCCGACGCUGAGACACGAAAGCCAGGGGAGCGAACGGG
RNAcentral lists this ribosomal RNA (253 nucleotides) under uncultured bacterium. RNAcentral's name for it is "partial 16S ribosomal RNA". It matches the Rfam family "Bacterial small subunit ribosomal RNA", at positions 524 to 776 of the family's 1533-position model. The record is from RNAcentral.